AAUGGCUCUUUGCAGAUUAUUGUAACCAUAUCUCUGGUUUUUUUCCUUUUUGGCUUUUUCUACGUUGGUUUUCUUACCAUGCUCUGAUAUACUCGGUGAAUUGCAGGUCAUUUAUUAGUGAUAGGGCUUUGACUAAUUUUUGUUCUGAUGAUGAUGCUCGUGUUUUGAUUUUUUUUAUGACCACGAUGGUGCCACAGGAGGCUACAAGUUUAUCGAUUUAGAUGUACCAUUAAUCUAUUAUGCAUAAUGGCUAAUAGGUUUUAUAUUUGGUCUUUUUCUUUGUUGUAAAACUGUGUCCAAAUUGUUGAACAAAUUUUUCAAUGGAUGAAUUCUUUAGUUAAAGUUACUAUACUUUUGAUCUUAUCACUCCCUGAAAGUACCUUUGUGAUCUCUUAUGUUUU
Molecule: long non-coding RNA, 401 nt
Filed under: Sorghum bicolor (sorghum)
Lineage: Eukaryota; Viridiplantae; Streptophyta; Magnoliopsida; Poales; Poaceae
Description: long non-coding RNA (SBIC_LNC009072)
Source: RNAcentral